GCUCGUAGUUGGAUUUCGGGUGUGAACGGCCGGUCCGUCUUUGAUGUGUACUGGUUGGUUGCGCCUUAUUGUCGAGGACAUGUUCUGGCUUUCAUUAGCUGGACAUGGAGUCGGCAGCGUUACUUUGAGAAAAUUAGAGUGUUCAAAGCAGGCUAUCGCUCUGAAUACUACAGCAUGGAAUAACACGAUAGGACUCCGAGCCUAUUCUGUUGGUCUUCGGGACCGGAGUAAUGAUUAAGAGGGACAGUUGGGGGCAUUCGUAUUCCGAUGUCAGAGGUGAAAUUCUUGGAUUAUCGGAAGACGAACAUCCGCGAAAGCAUUUGCCAAGGAUGUUUUCAUUAAUCAAUAACGAAAGUUGGGGGCUCGAAGAAGAUCAGAUACCUUCCUAGUCUCAACCAUAAACGAUGCCGACUAGGGAUUGGCGGAUGUUUUUUUAAUGACUCCGUCAGCACCUUACGAGAAAUCAAAGUCUUUGGGUUCCGGGGGNNNUAUGGUCGCAAGGC
This 503-nucleotide ribosomal RNA is filed under the name Chloropicon roscoffensis. RNAcentral's name for it is "SSU rRNA". It matches the Rfam family "Eukaryotic small subunit ribosomal RNA", at positions 626 to 1137 of the family's 1831-position model. Lineage: Eukaryota; Viridiplantae; Chlorophyta; Chloropicophyceae; Chloropicales; Chloropicaceae. The record is from RNAcentral.